Molecule: ribosomal RNA, 448 nt
Filed under: uncultured bacterium
Lineage: Bacteria
Description: bacterial SSU rRNA
Rfam family: Bacterial small subunit ribosomal RNA
Source: RNAcentral
GGCCAGACUCCUACGGGAGGCAGCAGUGGGGAAUAUUGCACAAUGGGGGGAACCCUGAUGCAGCGACGCCGCGUGGGUGAAGAAGCGCCUCGGCGCGUAAAGCCCUGUCAGCAGGGAAGAAAAUGACGGUACCUGAAGAAGAAGCCCCGGCUAACUACGUGCCAGCAGCCGCGGUAAUACGUAGGGGGCAAGCGUUAUCCGGAUUAACUGGGUGUAAAGGGGGCGCAGACGGCGAUGCAAGCCAGGAGUGAAAGCCCGGGGCCCAACCCCGGGACUGCUCUUGGAACUGCGUGGCUGGAGUGCAGGAGGGGCGGGCGGAAUUCCUGGUGUAGCGGUGAAAAGCGUAGAUAUCAGGAGGAACACCGGUGGCGAAGGCGGCCUGCUGGACUGCAACUGACGUUGAGGCCCGCAAGCGUGGGGAGCAAACAGGAUUAGAUACCCCUGCAUA